GUGGUGUGAUAAGCUGCUAAAAACUAUGAAGGUGACCACGGUGGAGUUCUACCUCAAGAACAACCUUCAAUUUUUGACCUUCAUGCAGCAGACUCCACCGCGGUCAUCCAGGCUGACAAAAGCAAACAUGGUCGGUGUCGUCAGGGACAUGAAGGUGGCCCUGAAGAGCCUCAAGAGGUUGGUUGUGGUCCACCAAAUGGCAGUAAAGAGGACGAAAUACUCCGAGCUGCCAGGAGGUGACGCCAUCGCCAGCUUCGUAGAUGGGGCUACAUUGAAAAUCCCUCAGCUGCUCGACGAGCUGGAGGAGGAGUACACAACCAACCUCCGGUUCCGGCUGUACGGCUUCAUGUGUGGCUACUGGAGCUGUGUCUUUGGUCACAGGCCCGGUGUGUACUCCAACAUGACCGACACGGAGUUCAGGCAGGCCCUGGCCAGUGGUGGAGAGCAAGGCUACUUGAUACAUGUCAAGGAGCACAAUACAAACAAGUCAUUUGGGGAGGCCCAGCUGUUCCUCACAGAUGUGGAGUUUGGGUGACUGCAACAUUAGAUGGCCAUCAAGACCAAAGUCCCUAAGAAGGAGAGGAACACCUUUGUGAUGUUCACCAAAGGGACGGGUCCCUGUAAAAAUCUCAACAGCUGCCUGAGGAUGGCCUGGGCGGAGCUGAGAAUAGGCGGCAAUGUCAGCUUCACCCUUAUUCGGACGGCACUUGCACACUACGCAAAAAAGACCACGGACGUCACUGCCAGGAAGAGGGUGGCAGACUUUAUGUGCCACGAUGUCACCACGGCGGACUGCUUCUACGCCAGGUGCCCCGAUGUCAAGGAGGCUAUGGCGAUUCGGAGUCUCAUCCGAGACAGCCUCAGGACGGAGGAGAGGGCCGGACCAUCUACUGCCGUGGUGGCAUCAUUUACUCCCCUGGGAGGAGGGACCUGUGUGGAGGAGAGCAGCAGCAGCAGCAGCGAGGAGGAGGAGGAGGAGGACAAGAAGGAGAAGAAGAGGGUGGCUGCUGCGACGAGUGGGGAGGAGAGCAGCAGCACCGAGGAGGAGGAGAAGCAGCAGCAGCAGCAGACAGAGGAGGAGAGGCCGCAGCAGCAGCAGACAGAGGAGGAGAGCAGCAGCAGCAGUGAGGGGGACGAAAAGCUCUGCAGUUCUCAAGUAGCACAAGUUGUGCUUAGUCCGAUCCACAAUCGGUUGAGAUCGAGAAAAGAAUGAGUGUGUAAAUAGACUGUUUUCGUUCGUGUUUAAAGUGUACAUAUGUUGUUUUUUGUGUUUGUGUUCAAAUAAAUGGUUGAAUUUGAAUUGCUCUUGUGUUCAUUUCUACUUUUUAGCCACAAUGCUAAGUGCUAGCUGUCUAAAAAUAUUCAGACAAUAUACAACACUCCAUAUGAACCUAGAAAAGCAGUUUCAAAAAGAUCAGAGUAGU
Molecule: long non-coding RNA, 1424 nt
Filed under: Cottoperca gobio
Lineage: Eukaryota; Metazoa; Chordata; Actinopteri; Perciformes; Bovichtidae
Description: lncRNA (ENSCGOG00000014345.1)
Source: RNAcentral